UAGGGAAUCUUCCGCAAUGGACGAAAGUCUGACGGAGCAACGCCGCGUGAGUGAAGAAGGAUUUCGGUUCGUAAAACUCUGUUGUUAGGGAAGAAAAAAUGUAUAGUAACUAUAUACAAAAGAGACGGUACCUAACCAGAAAGCCACGGCUAAAUACGUGUCAGCAGCCGCGGUAAUACGAAGGUGGCAAGCGUUGUCCGGAAUUAUUGGGCGUAAAGUGAGCGCAGGUGGUUUAGAAAGACUGAUGUGAAAGCCCACGACUCAACCGUGGAGGGUCAUUGGAAACUAAUAAACUUGAGUGCAGGAGAGAAAAGUGGAAUUCCUAGUGUAGCGGUGACAUGCGUAGAGAUUAGGAGGAACCCCGGUGGCGAAAGCGGCUUUUUGGCCUGCAACUGACACUGAGGCGCUAAAGCGUGGGGAGCAAACAGG
Molecule: ribosomal RNA, 429 nt
Filed under: Verrucomicrobiota bacterium
Lineage: Bacteria; Pseudomonadati; Verrucomicrobiota
Description: Verrucomicrobia bacterium partial 16S ribosomal RNA
Rfam family: Bacterial small subunit ribosomal RNA
Source: RNAcentral